Molecule: small nuclear RNA, 98 nt
Filed under: Tupaia belangeri (northern tree shrew)
Lineage: Eukaryota; Metazoa; Chordata; Mammalia; Scandentia; Tupaiidae
Also listed under: 1 other name
Source: RNAcentral
AUGCCUACUUCAGCAACACAUACUAAAUUGGAAUACAGAGAUUGGCACGGCCCUUGUUCGAGGCUGACGUGCAAAUUCAAAAAGCAGUCCAGGUUUUU